Molecule: ribosomal RNA, 459 nt
Filed under: uncultured bacterium
Lineage: Bacteria
Description: partial 16S ribosomal RNA
Rfam family: Bacterial small subunit ribosomal RNA
Source: RNAcentral
CCUACGGGAGGCAGCAGUGAGGAAUAUUGGUCAAUGGCCGGAAGGCUGAACCAGCCAAGCCGCGUGAAGGACGACGGUGCCAAGCAUUGUAAACUUCUUUUGUCAGGGAACAAAAUCAGGCUCGUGUACCUGACUGAGGGUACUUGAAGAAAAAGCAUCGGCUAACUCCGUGCCAGCAGCCGCGGUAAUACGGAGGAUGCGAGCGUUAUCCGGAUUUAUUGGGUUUAAAGGGUGCGUAGGCGGGCUGUUAAGUCAGCGGGAAAAGUCUGGGGCCCAACCCCGGCGUGCGGUUGAAACUGGCUGUCUUGAGAAGUCGAGAGGUAGGAGGAAUGCGUGGUGUAGCGGUGAAAUGCUUAGAUAUUACGCAGAACUCCGAUUGCGAAGGCAGCAUACCGGCGGCGAACUGACGCUGAGGCACGAAAGCGUGGGUAUCGAACAGGAUUAGAUACCCCAGUAGUC